Molecule: ribosomal RNA, 253 nt
Filed under: uncultured bacterium
Lineage: Bacteria
Description: partial 16S ribosomal RNA
Rfam family: Bacterial small subunit ribosomal RNA
Source: RNAcentral
UACAGAGGGUGCAAACGUUGUUCGGAAUUACUGGGCAUAAAGCGCGCGUAGGCGGCCGCGUAAGUGUGGAGUGAAAUCCCACGGCUCAACCGUGGAAUUGCUUGGCAUACUGCGUGGCUAGAGGACGGUAGGGGAGAGCGGAACUCCUGGUGGAGCGGUGAAAUGCGUAGAUAUCAGGAGGAACACCGGUGGCGAAGGCGGCUCUCUGGUCCGUUACUGACGCUGAGGCGCGAAAGCCAGGGUAGCGAACGGG